GGUAAUACGGAGGGUGCAAGCGUUUUCCGGAUUUAUUGGGUUUAAGGGUCCGUAGGCGGAUCUGUAAGUCAGUGGUGAAAUCUCACAGCUUAACUGUGAAACUGCCAUUGAUACUGCAGGUCUUGAGUGUUGUUGAAGUAGCUGGAAUAAGUAGUGUAGCGGUGAAAUGCAUAGAUAUUACUUAGAACACCAAUUGCGAAGGCAGGUUACUAAGCAACAACUGACGCUGAUGGACGAAAGCGUGGGGAGCGAACAGGAUUAGAUACCCUGGUAGUCCACGCCGUAAACGAUGCUAACUCGUUUUUGGAAUGCAAGUUUCAGAGACUAAGCGAAAGUGAUAAGUUAGCCACCUGGGGAGUACGAACGCAAGUUUGAAACUCAAAGGAAUUGACGGGGGCCCGCACAAGCGGUGGAUUAUGUGGUUUAAUUCGAUGAUACGCGAGGAACCUUACCAAGGCUUAAAUGGGAAAUGACAGGUUUAGAAAUAGACUUUUCUUCGGACAUUUUUCAAGGUGCUGCAUGGUUGUCGUCAGCUCGUGCCGUGAGGUGUUAGGUUAAGUCCUGCAACGAGCGCAACCCCUGUCACUAGUUGCCAUCAUUAAGUUGGGGACUCUAGUGAGACUGCCUACGCAAGUAGAGAGGAAGGUGGGGAUGACGUCAAAUCAUCACGGCCCUUACGCCUUGGGCCACACACGUAAUACAAUGGCCGGUACAGAGGGCAGCUACACUGCGAAGUGAUGCAAAUCUCGAAAGCCGGUCUCAGUUCGGAUUGGAGUCUGCAACUCGACUCUAUGAAGCUGGAAUCGCUAGUAAUCGCGCAUCAGCCAUGGCGCGGUGAAUACGUUCCCGGGCCUUGUACACACCGCCCGUCAAGCCAUGGAAGUCUGGGGUACCUGAAGUCGGUGACCGUAACAGG
Molecule: ribosomal RNA, 916 nt
Filed under: Chryseobacterium cucumeris
Lineage: Bacteria; Pseudomonadati; Bacteroidota; Flavobacteriia; Flavobacteriales; Weeksellaceae
Description: bacterial SSU rRNA
Rfam family: Bacterial small subunit ribosomal RNA
Source: RNAcentral